RNAcentral lists this ribosomal RNA (483 nucleotides) under uncultured bacterium. RNAcentral describes it as "partial 16S ribosomal RNA". It matches the Rfam family "Bacterial small subunit ribosomal RNA", at positions 29 to 507 of the family's 1533-position model. The record is from RNAcentral.
GUGAACGCUGGCGGCAGGCCUAACACAUGCCAGUCGAGCGGCAGCGCGGGGGCAACCCUGGCGGCGAGCGGCGGACGGGUGAGGAAUUCGUCGGAAUCUGCCUUUUUGUGGGGGAUAACGUAGGGAAACUUACGCUAAUACCGCAUACGUCCUACGGGAGAAAGUGGGGGACCGCAAGGCCUCACGCAGAAAGAUGAGCCGACGACCGAUUAGCUAGUUGGUGGGGUAAAGGCCCACCAAGGCGACGAUCGGUAGCUGGUCUGAGAGGAUGAUCAGCCACACUGGGACUGAGACACGGCCCAGACUCCUACGGGAGGCAGCAGUGGGGAAUAUUGGACAAUGGGCGCAAGCCUGAUCCAGCCAUGCCGCGUGUGUGAAGAAGGCCUUCGGGUUGUAAAGCACUUUUGUCCGGAAAGAAAUCCCUGGAGCUAAUACCUUCGGGGGAUGACGGUACCGGAAGAAUAAGCACCGGCUAACUUCGUG